AGCGCAGACGGCGAAGCAAGUCUGAAGUGAAAUGCAUGGGCUCAACCCACGAAUUGCUUUGGAAACUGUUUGGCUUGAGUGUCGGAGGGGUAAGCGGAAUUCCUGGUGUAGCGGUGAAAUGCGCAGAUAUCAGGAGGAACACCGAUGGCGAAGGCAGGUUACUGGGCAGUUACUGACGCUGAGGAGCGAAAGCAUGGGUAGCGAACA
RNAcentral lists this ribosomal RNA (207 nucleotides) under uncultured bacterium. Its description in RNAcentral is "partial 16S ribosomal RNA". It matches the Rfam family "Bacterial small subunit ribosomal RNA", at positions 568 to 774 of the family's 1533-position model. The record is from RNAcentral.